AUUGAACGCUGGCGGCAGGCCUAACACAUGCAAGUCGAGCGGUAGAGAGAAGCUUGCUUCUCUUGAGAGCGGCGGACGGGUGAGUAAUGCCUAGGAAUCUGCCUGGUAGUGGGGGAUAACGUCCGGAAACGGACGCUAAUACCGCAUACGUCCUACGGGAGAAAGCAGGGGACCUUCGGGCCUUGCGCUAUCAGAUGAGCCUAGGUCGGAUUAGCUAGUUGGUGGGGUAAUGGCUCACCAAGGCGACGAUCCGUAACUGGUCUGAGAGGAUGAUCAGUCACACUGGAACUGAGACACGGUCCAGACUCCUACGGGAGGCAGCAGUGGGGAAUAUUGGACAAUGGGCGAAAGCCUGAUCCAGCCAUGCCGCGUGUGUGAAGAAGGUCUUCGGAUUGUAAAGCACUUUAAGUUGGGAGGAAGGGCAGUAAAUUAAUACUUUGCUGUUUUGACGUUACCGACAGGAUAAGCACCGCUAA
Molecule: ribosomal RNA, 476 nt
Filed under: Pseudomonas sp. oral taxon C84
Lineage: Bacteria; Pseudomonadati; Pseudomonadota; Gammaproteobacteria; Pseudomonadales; Pseudomonadaceae
Description: bacterial SSU rRNA
Rfam family: Bacterial small subunit ribosomal RNA
Source: RNAcentral